UGGUCCCUACGGGGCGCAGCAGUGAGGAAUAUUGGUCAAUGGGCGCGAGCCUGAACCAGCCAAGUCGCGUGAGGGAAGACGGUCCUAUGGAUUGUAAACCUCUUUUGUCGAGGAGCAAAAGACGCCACGCGUGGCGUUCCGAGAGUACCCGAAGAAAAAGCAUCGGCUAACUCCGUGCCAGCAGCCGCGGUAAUACGGAGGAUGCGAGCGUUAUCCGGAUUUAUUGGGUUUAAAGGGUGCGUAGGCGGGACGGUAAGUCAGCGGUAAAAAUGCGGAGCUCAACUCCGUCGAGCCGUUGAAACUGC
Molecule: ribosomal RNA, 305 nt
Filed under: uncultured bacterium
Lineage: Bacteria
Description: bacterial SSU rRNA
Rfam family: Bacterial small subunit ribosomal RNA
Source: RNAcentral